AUGAAGCCUAGCGAUAUGUAAGUUAGUGGCGGACGGGUGAGUAACGCGUGGGUAACCUGCCUUGUACUGGGGGACAACAGUUGGAAACGACUGCUAAUACCGCAUAAGCGCACAGCUUCGCAUGAAGCAGUGUGAAAAACUCCGGUGGUACAAGAUGGACCCGCGUCUGAUUAGCUAGUUGGUGAGGUAACGGCCCACCAAGGCGACGAUGGGUAGCCGGCCUGAGAGGUUGAUCGGCCACACUGGGACUGAGACACGGCCCAGACUCC
RNAcentral lists this ribosomal RNA (269 nucleotides) under uncultured Lachnospiraceae bacterium. RNAcentral describes it as "partial 16S ribosomal RNA". It matches the Rfam family "Bacterial small subunit ribosomal RNA", at positions 59 to 339 of the family's 1533-position model. The record is from RNAcentral. Lineage: Bacteria; Bacillati; Bacillota; Clostridia; Lachnospirales; Lachnospiraceae.